RNAcentral lists this transfer RNA (73 nucleotides) under Ailuropoda melanoleuca (giant panda). It matches the Rfam family "tRNA". From Rfam's summary of the family: Transfer RNA (tRNA) molecules are approximately 80 nucleotides in length. Their secondary structure includes four short double-helical elements and three loops (D, anti-codon, and T loops). Further hydrogen bonds mediate the characteristic L-shaped molecular structure. tRNAs have two regions of fundamental functional importance: the anti-codon, which is responsible for specific mRNA codon recognition, and the 3' end, to which the tRNAs corresponding amino acid is attached (by aminoacyl-tRNA synthetases). tRNAs cope with the degeneracy of the genetic code in two manners: having more than one tRNA (with a specific anti-codon) for a particular amino acid; and 'wobble' base-pairing, i.e. permitting non-standard base-pairing at the 3rd anti-codon position. Lineage: Eukaryota; Metazoa; Chordata; Mammalia; Carnivora; Ursidae. The record is from Rfam by way of RNAcentral.
ACCUGGCUGGCUCAGUCCAUUGAGCAUCAGACUCUUAAUCUCAGGAUCGUGGGAUUAAGCCCCACACUAGGCU